RNAcentral lists this small nuclear RNA (164 nucleotides) under Panthera leo (lion). Its description in RNAcentral is "U1 spliceosomal RNA (ENSPLOG00000017438.1)". It matches the Rfam family "U1 spliceosomal RNA". From Rfam's summary of the family: U1 is a small nuclear RNA (snRNA) component of the spliceosome (involved in pre-mRNA splicing). Its 5' end forms complementary base pairs with the 5' splice junction, thus defining the 5' donor site of an intron. Lineage: Eukaryota; Metazoa; Chordata; Mammalia; Carnivora; Felidae. The record is from Rfam by way of RNAcentral.
AUACUUACCUGGCAGGGGAGAUACCAUGAUCAGGAAGGUGGUUUUCCCAGGGCGAGGCUUAUCCAUUGCACUCGGGAUGUGCUGACCCCUGCGAUUUCCCCAAAUGUGGGAAACUCGACUGCACAAUUUGUGGUAGUGGGGGACUGCGUUCGCGCUUUCCCCUG